Molecule: ribosomal RNA, 384 nt
Filed under: Lepidoblepharis xanthostigma
Lineage: Eukaryota; Metazoa; Chordata; Lepidosauria; Squamata; Sphaerodactylidae
Description: partial 16S ribosomal RNA
Rfam family: Bacterial large subunit ribosomal RNA
Source: RNAcentral
GUAUGAACGGCUAAAUGAGGGCCUACCUGUUUCCUAUGGCCCGUCAAUGAACCUGAUCUUCCAGUACAAAAGCUGGAAUUAACCCAUAAGACGAGAAGACCCUGUGGAGCUUCAAACAACCUGCUAACCCACAUAGCAUGGUACUUUUAGUUGGGGCGACUACGGAACAAAACAAAACUUCCACGCCUCGGACCACCCAUCCUAUAAAGGCACCCACGCCAACAUAACCCUUAACUCGACCCAGUCCAUACUGAUUAACGAACCAAGUUACCCCAGGGAUAACAGCGCCAUCCUCUUUAAGAGCCCCUAUCGCCAAGAGGGUUUACGACCUCGAUGUUGGAUCAGGGCCCCCAAGUGGUGCAGCACUACUAACGGGUUCGUUUG